GCGGCCGUAGCUCAGUGGUAGAGCUCCACCUUGCCAAGGUGGAUGUCGAGGGUUCAAGUCCCUUCGGCCGCUCCA
Molecule: transfer RNA, 75 nt
Filed under: Planctomycetota bacterium
Lineage: Bacteria; Pseudomonadati; Planctomycetota
Description: Planctomycetes bacterium tRNA-Gly
Rfam family: tRNA
About the family: Transfer RNA (tRNA) molecules are approximately 80 nucleotides in length. Their secondary structure includes four short double-helical elements and three loops (D, anti-codon, and T loops). Further hydrogen bonds mediate the characteristic L-shaped molecular structure. tRNAs have two regions of fundamental functional importance: the anti-codon, which is responsible for specific mRNA codon recognition, and the 3' end, to which the tRNAs corresponding amino acid is attached (by aminoacyl-tRNA synthetases). tRNAs cope with the degeneracy of the genetic code in two manners: having more than one tRNA (with a specific anti-codon) for a particular amino acid; and 'wobble' base-pairing, i.e. permitting non-standard base-pairing at the 3rd anti-codon position.
Source: RNAcentral